RNAcentral lists this transfer RNA (73 nucleotides) under Danionella translucida. It matches the Rfam family "tRNA". Rfam says of the family: Transfer RNA (tRNA) molecules are approximately 80 nucleotides in length. Their secondary structure includes four short double-helical elements and three loops (D, anti-codon, and T loops). Further hydrogen bonds mediate the characteristic L-shaped molecular structure. tRNAs have two regions of fundamental functional importance: the anti-codon, which is responsible for specific mRNA codon recognition, and the 3' end, to which the tRNAs corresponding amino acid is attached (by aminoacyl-tRNA synthetases). tRNAs cope with the degeneracy of the genetic code in two manners: having more than one tRNA (with a specific anti-codon) for a particular amino acid; and 'wobble' base-pairing, i.e. permitting non-standard base-pairing at the 3rd anti-codon position. RNAcentral also lists the same sequence under 1 other name. The record is from Rfam by way of RNAcentral. Lineage: Eukaryota; Metazoa; Chordata; Actinopteri; Cypriniformes; Danionidae.
GGCCUGUUAGCUCAGCUGGUUAGAGCGUGGUGCUAAUAACGCCAAGGACAGGGUUCGAUCCCCACAUGGGCCA